RNAcentral lists this ribosomal RNA (554 nucleotides) under uncultured Ascomycota. RNAcentral's name for it is "eukaryotic LSU rRNA". The stretch from base 209 to 362 matches the Rfam family "5.8S ribosomal RNA". Lineage: Eukaryota; Fungi; Ascomycota. The record is from RNAcentral.
CAUUAACAAGCCGUGGGGAUCAUCUUUGAAAAGAUUGAUCUUACACUUGGCCAACCUUGCUUUACUUUAAACCUGUUGCUUUGGUGGGCCUGCCCACACAGGGCUGCCGGGAGACUUGUAGUUUCCGGGCUAGUGCUCACCAAAGUCUUAUUGAAUUCUACAAGAUGUUUUUUUGCUGUCUGAGCAUGCAAGUGCAAAUUUUAAUUAAAACUUUCAACAACGGAUCUCUUGGUUCUGGCAUCGAUGAAGAACGCAGCGAAAUGCGACAAGUAAUGUGAAUUGCAGAAUUCCGUGAAUCAUCGAAUCUUUGAACGCAUAUUGCGCCCUCUGGUAUUCCGGAGGGCAUGCCUGUCCGAGCGUCAUUACUAUCCUCAAGCACGGCUUGUGUGUUGAGCAUCUGUUCUUUAAUGGACAUGCUUGAAAUGCAGUGGCAGUGCUGUAUCUGGUGCCCGAGCGUUAUAGGGCUUUGUCACCCGCUCCGUUGGCCCCAGUCAGCAUUUAGGCCCUAUUAAGUAUUAAUCUUAGAACUGACCUCGGAUCAGGCAAGAAUACCC